Long non-coding RNA from Zalophus californianus (California sea lion), 675 nucleotides. RefSeq lists it as uncharacterized. The record is from RefSeq and is a predicted model, not a curated record. The transcript has 4 exons. Lineage: Eukaryota; Metazoa; Chordata; Mammalia; Carnivora; Otariidae.
CGUGACUGAGGGACGUCGCCACAGGGGACAUCCGCUUCCCGUGAGCUCUGAAGCAUAGGAAGUAAGCAAGACGAUUAACGAACAUUUUCAAAACUCAACGGCUGAACCACCUUAAUCUCAUCAACACUUACACGAUGGCUCCUGUGGGCUGAAGCUUCCUGUCCCCCUUCCAAUUGUUUCAGCUAACCUGCCUCCAGCUUCUUCCGACCUGUGCCCUUGGGGGUCUCUCCAUUCUUCUGGGCUCGGCUACCCACUGCGAUGAUCUCCAGCUGGGACCAUGGAGACCUGGGCUAGAGUUUAUGCAUGGGUCACCCCCAAGGCAAAUAUUCAAGGAAAGUACAAGUGGCAAUUUUUAAAAAAUUAAACCUGCGCACUUACUGUCCAAAGGGCUUUGAUGAGUGUUGUACAAGCAACCUGAGGAAUUUGACAUCAACAUUCCAGAAAACCUGGAGGAAGGGAGUGAGAAGCAGGUCUACAAGCUAUUUUCUCCUGUUUUGGGAAAAGAAAGAAGGCAGGUGACACAAUCCUAUCAACUUAUAAACAUGCUGCUAAGAACCAACCAGUACAUUCCUUUCCUAGCAGAUACUUUCGGUAUGAUAUUCGUUGUCGUUUAAAAUUGUUCAUUGUUUAAAAAAAAAAAAAACCUGAAUUCUACUCCUGAAACCAAUAGUACAC